Molecule: unclassified non-coding RNA, 196 nt
Filed under: Ascomycota sp.
Lineage: Eukaryota; Fungi; Ascomycota
Description: partial contains small subunit ribosomal RNA, internal transcribed spacer 1, and 5.8S ribosomal RNA
Rfam family: Eukaryotic small subunit ribosomal RNA (bases 1-47)
Source: RNAcentral
AAAGUCGUAACAAGGUUUCCGUAGGUGAACCUGCGGAAGGAUCAUUACAGUGUUAGGCUUCGGCCUCAUUCACACCCCUUGUUUAACCUCUGGUUUCUUUGGCGAUGUCAAUCGUCAAACUUUAACUCUGAUAAUGUGGUACUGUCCAAGUCCAAUUGAAUUAUCAAAACUUUCAACAACGGAUCUCUUGGUUCCA